GACGAACGCUGGCGGCGUGCUUAACACAUGCAAGUCGAACGGACUACUUUGCUUCGGUAAGGUGGUUAGUGGCGAACGGGUGAGUAACGCGUAGACAACCUACCUCUUAGAUGGGGACAACAUCGCGAAAGCGGUGCUAAUACCGAAUGAAGUGACUUUCCUGCAUGGGAGAGAUACUAAAGGUGGCCUCUAUUUAUAAGCUACCACUGAGAGAUGGGUCUGCGUCUGAUUGGCUAGUGGGCGGGGUAAUGGCCCACCAAGGCGACGAUCAGUAGCCGGUCUGAGAGGAUGAACGGCCACAUUGGGACUGAGAAACGGCCCAAACUCCUACGGGAGGCAGCAGUGGGGAAUCUUCCGCAAUGGACGAAAGUCUGACGGAGCAACGCCGCGUGAGUGAAGAAGGUUUUCGGAUCGUAAAGCUCUGUUGUUUGAGACGAAUGUGCCUGUUUCAAAUAGGGAUAGGUAAUGACGGUAUUAAACGAGAAAGCCACGGCUAACUACGUGCCAGCAGCCGCUGUAA
Molecule: ribosomal RNA, 520 nt
Filed under: uncultured bacterium
Lineage: Bacteria
Description: partial 16S ribosomal RNA
Rfam family: Bacterial small subunit ribosomal RNA
Source: RNAcentral